AGCUUUGCGUAGUGGCAGUAUCAUAGCCAAUGAGGUUUAUCCAAGGCACAAUUAUUGCUGGUUA
RNAcentral lists this small nuclear RNA (64 nucleotides) under Pongo abelii (Sumatran orangutan). RNAcentral describes it as "U4 spliceosomal RNA". It matches the Rfam family "U4 spliceosomal RNA", at positions 1 to 64 of the family's 138-position model. Rfam says of the family: U4 small nuclear RNA (U4 snRNA) is a component of the major U2-dependent spliceosome. The record is from Rfam by way of RNAcentral. Lineage: Eukaryota; Metazoa; Chordata; Mammalia; Primates; Hominidae.